RNAcentral lists this ribosomal RNA (490 nucleotides) under uncultured bacterium. Its description in RNAcentral is "partial 16S ribosomal RNA". It matches the Rfam family "Bacterial small subunit ribosomal RNA", at positions 30 to 507 of the family's 1533-position model. The record is from RNAcentral.
AUUGAACGCUGGCGGCAGGCCUAACACAUGCAAGUCGAACGGUAACAGGAAACAGCUUGCUGUUUCGCUGACGAGUGGCGGACGGGUGAGUAAUGUCUGGGAAACUGCCUGAUGGAGGGGGAUAACUACUGGAAACGGUAGCUAAUACCGCAUAACGUCGCAAGACCAAAGAGGGGGACCUUCGGGCCUCUUGCCAUCGGAUGUGCCCAGAUGGGAUUAGUUAGUAGGUGGGGUAACGGCUCACCUAGGCGACGAUCCCCAGCUGGUCUGAGAGGAUGACCAGCCACACUGGAACUGAGACACGGUCCAGACUCCUACGGGAGGCAGCAGUGGGGAAUAUUGCACAAUGGGCGCAAGCCUGAUGCAGCCAUGCCGCGUGUAUGAAGAAGGCCUUCGGGUUGUAAAGUACUUUCAGCGGGGAGGAAGGGAGUAAAGUUAAUACCUUUACUCAUUGACGUUACCCGCAGAAGAAGCACCGGCUAACUCCGUG